Molecule: ribosomal RNA, 253 nt
Filed under: uncultured bacterium
Lineage: Bacteria
Description: partial 16S ribosomal RNA
Rfam family: Bacterial small subunit ribosomal RNA
Source: RNAcentral
UACAGAGGUGGCAAGCGUUGUUCGGAAUUACUGGGCGUAAAGGGCGCGUAGGCGGUCUUGUAAGUCUUGUGUGAAAUCCCUCGGCUUAACUGAGGAACUGCACGGGAUACUGCAUGACUUGAGAUCGGGAGAGGGAAGCGGAAUUCCGGGUGUAGCGGUGAAAUGCGUAGAUAUCCGGAGGAACACCGGUGGCGAAGGCGGCUUCCUGGACCAAUACUGACGCUCAUGUGCGAAAGCGUGGGGAGCAAACAGG